This 296-nucleotide unclassified non-coding RNA is filed under the name plant metagenome. Its description in RNAcentral is "partial contains small subunit ribosomal RNA, internal transcribed spacer 1, and 5.8S ribosomal RNA". The stretch from base 1 to 54 matches the Rfam family "Eukaryotic small subunit ribosomal RNA", at positions 1778 to 1831 of the family's 1831-position model. The record is from RNAcentral.
GGAAGUAAAAGUCAUAACAAGGUAACCGUAGGUGAACCUGCGGUUGGAUCAUUAACAAUUGAAAAGUAGGGAUGGUGCUGCGCACCUUUCCCUAGCCAGAAAUGGAAGCAAUCUGUGAACCGUUUGUUUUUCGGCGGGUGGGCAGUGAGAGCUGCUUGUCAGCGCGCAAGGUCUCGACCUUCGUGCGCCGUGGACAGCCCGUCGGUUUGUGUCUAAACCAUUUAUCAUUUCUCUCUUCUAACAUUUCAUUGUAUAAAUAUACAAAACAACUUUUGGCAACGGAUCUCUUGGCUCUC